Molecule: ribosomal RNA, 464 nt
Filed under: uncultured bacterium
Lineage: Bacteria
Description: partial 16S ribosomal RNA
Rfam family: Bacterial small subunit ribosomal RNA
Source: RNAcentral
ACGAACGCCGGCGGCGUGCUUAACACCUGCCAGUCGCACGGAAAGGCCGUGCUUGCAGGGUACUCGAGUGGCGAACGGGUGAGUAACACGUGGGUGAUCUGCCCUGCACUUCGGGAUAAGCCUGGGAAACUGGGUCUAAUACCGGAUAGGAGCCAUUUUUCGUGUGAUGGUUGGAAAGUUUUUUCGGUGUAGGAUGAGCUCGCGGCCUAUCAGCUUGUUGGUGGGGUAAUGGCCUACCAAGGCGGCGACGGGUAGCCGGCCUGAGAGGGUGGACGGCCACAUUGGGACUGAGAUAAGGCCCAGACUCCUACGGGAGGCAGCAGUGGGGAAUAUUGCACAAUGGGCGCAAGCCGGAUGCAGCGACGCCGCGUGGGGGAUGACGGCCUUCGGGUUGUAAAAUCCUUUCGCUAGGGACGAAGCUUUUUGUGACGGUACCUAGAUAAGAAGCACCGGCUAACUACGUG